This 616-nucleotide ribosomal RNA is filed under the name uncultured bacterium. Its description in RNAcentral is "bacterial SSU rRNA". The stretch from base 1 to 519 matches the Rfam family "Bacterial small subunit ribosomal RNA", at positions 338 to 873 of the family's 1533-position model. The record is from RNAcentral.
CCUACGGGAGGCAGCAGUGGGGAAUCUUGCGCAAUGGGCGAAAGCCUGACGCAGCCAUGCCGCGUGAAUGAUGAAGGUCUUAGGAUUGUAAAAAUUCUUUCACCGGGGACGAUAAUGACGGUACCCGGAGAAGAAGCCCCGGCUAACUUCGUGCCAGCAGCCGCGGUAAUACGAAGGGGGCUAGCGUUGCUCGGAAUUACUGGGCGUAAAGGGAGCGUAGGCGGAUAGUUUAGUCAGAGGUGAAAGCCCAGGGCUCAACCUUGGAAUUGCCUUUGAUACUGGCUAUCUUGAGUAUGGGAGAGGUUAGCGGAACUCCGAGUGUAGAGGUGAAAUUCGUAGAUAUUCGGAAGAACACCAGUGGCGAAGGCGGCUAACUGGCCCAUUACUGACGCUGAGGCUCGAAAGCGUGGGGAGCAAACAGGAUUAGAUACCCUGGUAGUCCACGCCGUAAACGAUGAGUGCUAGUUGUCGGCAUGCAUGCAUGUCGGUGACGCAGCUACGACAUAAGACACCUCCGCCGUCGGGGAGGUACGGUCGCGAAGAAGUUAAACUAACGUAAAGUAAAGUUAGUUACGGUCGUUGAGACGUUGCCGACGGACGACGACGAGGGAGGAGG